ACUGAAUACUCAUGUCUCAUUAUUAUAUUUCAAAUUUUAUAUUUUAGUAAAAAAGCUAAAAUUAAUAUUAAAGACAAGAAGACCCUAUUAAGCUUUAUAAUUGCAAUUUAAUAUCAACAUAAAUUAAAAAUUAUUUUACUGGGGCAGUAGAUAAAUAAAAUUUUAUUUCCAUAAUAUGAAUACAAUUCUUGAAAAACCAAAGAAUUUUUAAAAAGGAAUAAGUUACUAUAGGGAUAACAGCAUAAUUUUCUUAAAGAGUUCUUAUCAUCAAGAAAGUUUGUGACCUCGAUGUUGGAUUAAGAUACCUCUUUCAUGC
RNAcentral lists this ribosomal RNA (316 nucleotides) under Euscorpius parthenopeius. RNAcentral's name for it is "partial large subunit ribosomal RNA". The record is from RNAcentral. Lineage: Eukaryota; Metazoa; Arthropoda; Arachnida; Scorpiones; Euscorpiidae.